GUGGGGAAUCUUCCGCAAUGGACGAAAGUCUGACGGAGCAACGCCGCGUGAGUGAAGAAGGUUUUCGGAUCGUAAAGCUCUUUCGUUAGGGACGAACGUGCUCUUUGUGAAUAAUGAGGAGUAAUGACGGUACCUAAAUAAGAAGCCACGGCUAACUACGUGCCAGCAGCCGCGGUAAUACGUAGGGGGCAAGCGUUGUCCGGAAUUAUUGGGCGUAAAGCGCGCGCAGGCGGGAUAUCAAGUCUGUCUUAAAAGUGCGAGGCUCAACCUCGUGAGGGGACAGAAACUGGUAUUCUUGAGUGUCGGAGAGGAAAGUGGAAUUCCAAGUGUAGCGGUGAAAUGCGUAGAGAUUUGGAAGAACACCAGUGGCGAAGGCGACUUUCUGGACGAUGUCUGACGCUGAGGCGCGAAAGCUAGGGGAGCGAACGGGAUUAGAAACCCUAGUAGUCC
RNAcentral lists this ribosomal RNA (450 nucleotides) under uncultured bacterium. Its description in RNAcentral is "partial 16S ribosomal RNA". It matches the Rfam family "Bacterial small subunit ribosomal RNA", at positions 354 to 796 of the family's 1533-position model. The record is from RNAcentral.